Molecule: ribosomal RNA, 499 nt
Filed under: Proteus vulgaris
Lineage: Bacteria; Pseudomonadati; Pseudomonadota; Gammaproteobacteria; Enterobacterales; Morganellaceae
Description: bacterial SSU rRNA
Rfam family: Bacterial small subunit ribosomal RNA
Source: RNAcentral
AUCUGCCCGAUAGAGGGGGAUAACUACGGGAAACGGUAGCUAAUACCGCAUGACGUCUACGGACCAAAGCAGGGGCUCUUCGGACCUUGCGCUAUCGGAUGAACCCAUAUGGGAUUAGCUAGUAGGUAAGGUAAUGGCUCACCUAGGCGACGAUCUCUAGCUGGUCUGAGAGGAUGAUCAGCCACACUGGGACUGAGACACGGCCCAAACUCCUACGGGAGGCAGCAGUGGGGAAUAUUGCACAAUGGGCGCAAGCCUGAUGCAGCCAUGCCGCGUGUAUGAAAAAGGCCUUAGGGUUGUAAAGUACUUUCAGCGGGGAGGAAGGUGAUAAAGUUAAUACCUUUAUCAAUUGACGUUACCCGCAAAAAAAGCACCGGCUAACUCCGUGCCAGCAGCCGCGGUAAUACGGAGGGUGCAAGCGUUAAUCGGAAUUACUGGGCGUAAAGCGCACGCCGGCGGUCAAUUAAGUCAGAUGUGAAAGCCCCGAGCUUAACUUGGG